GGAGGAAUGGCCGAGUGGUUGAAGGCACUUGUCUUGAAAACAAGCAGAGUGAAAGCUCUCGUGGGUUCGAAUCCUACUUCCUCCG
This 85-nucleotide transfer RNA is filed under the name Slackia heliotrinireducens DSM 20476. It matches the Rfam family "tRNA". From Rfam's summary of the family: Transfer RNA (tRNA) molecules are approximately 80 nucleotides in length. Their secondary structure includes four short double-helical elements and three loops (D, anti-codon, and T loops). The record is from Rfam by way of RNAcentral. Lineage: Bacteria; Bacillati; Actinomycetota; Coriobacteriia; Eggerthellales; Eggerthellaceae.